This 331-nucleotide unclassified non-coding RNA is filed under the name uncultured fungus. Its description in RNAcentral is "partial contains small subunit ribosomal RNA, internal transcribed spacer 1, and 5.8S ribosomal RNA". The stretch from base 1 to 73 matches the Rfam family "Eukaryotic small subunit ribosomal RNA", at positions 1759 to 1831 of the family's 1831-position model. Lineage: Eukaryota; Fungi. The record is from RNAcentral.
GCAAACUUGGUCAUUUAGAGGAAGUAAAAGUCGUAACAAGGUUUCCGUAGGUGAACCUGCGGAAGGAUCAUUAUCGAUUCAAUUGGAUGUGCUGACUAGUGUGCGCUAGUACUGUGCACUCCAUAACCUCCUACCCUUGUGCACUAUUCCCAUUGGCAAUUUGAAAGAAACUAGAAGUCUGUAAAGAUUUCCAAGUAAUUUCAUUGUCUUUGGUUUUUAAUUACACUAUAAAUAUUAUGAAUGUAUCAUAGACUUGUUCAUUCAAGUCAAUAUUAUUAAAACAACUUUCAACAACGGAUCUCUUGGUUCUCGCAUCGAUGAAGAACGCAGC